CUUGCACGCUGGCGGCAGGCCUAACACAUGCAAGUCGAGCGGAUGAAGGGAGCUUGCUCCUGGAUUCAGCGGCGGACGGGUGAGUAAUGCCUAGGAAUCUGCCUGGUAGUGGGGGAUAACGUCCGGAAACGGGCGCUAAUACCGCAUACGUCCUGAGGGAGCAAGUGGGGGAUCUUCGGACCUCACGCUAUCAGAUGAGCCUAGGUCGGAUUAGCUAGUUGGUGGGGUAAAGGCCUACCAAGGCGACGAUCCGUAACUGGUCUGAGAGGAUGAUCAGUCACACUGACACUGAGAAUCGGUCCAGACUCCUACGGGAGGAAGCAGUGGGGAAUAUUGGACAAUGGGCGAAAGCCUAAUCUUGCCAUGCCGCGUGUGUGCAGAUGGUCUUCGGCUUGUUAAGCGCUUUAAGUUUGGAGGAAGUGAAGUACGUUAAUACCUUGCUGUUUUGACGUUACCAACAGAAUAAGCACCGGCUAACUUCGUG
This 484-nucleotide ribosomal RNA is filed under the name uncultured bacterium. RNAcentral describes it as "partial 16S ribosomal RNA". It matches the Rfam family "Bacterial small subunit ribosomal RNA", at positions 30 to 507 of the family's 1533-position model. The record is from RNAcentral.